RNAcentral lists this ribosomal RNA (64 nucleotides) under Chuquiraga spinosa subsp. australis. RNAcentral describes it as "partial 5.8S ribosomal RNA". It matches the Rfam family "5.8S ribosomal RNA", at positions 1 to 58 of the family's 154-position model. Rfam says of the family: 5.8S ribosomal RNA (5.8S rRNA) is a component of the large subunit of the eukaryotic ribosome. It is transcribed by RNA polymerase I as part of the 45S precursor that also contains 18S and 28S rRNA. Functionally, it is thought that 5.8S rRNA may be involved in ribosome translocation. The record is from RNAcentral. Lineage: Eukaryota; Viridiplantae; Streptophyta; Magnoliopsida; Asterales; Asteraceae.
ACAAACGACUCUGGGCAACGGAUAUCUCGGCUCACGCAUCGAUGAAGAACGUAGCAAAAUGCGA